This 464-nucleotide ribosomal RNA is filed under the name uncultured bacterium. RNAcentral describes it as "bacterial SSU rRNA". It matches the Rfam family "Bacterial small subunit ribosomal RNA", at positions 338 to 795 of the family's 1533-position model. The record is from RNAcentral.
CCUACGGGUUGCACCAGUGGGGAAUAUUGCACAAUGGGCGCAAGCCUGAUGCAGCCAUGCCGCGUGUAUGAAGAAGGCCUUCGGGUUGUAAAGUACUUUCAGCGAGGAGGAAGGCAUCAAGGUUAAUAACCUUGGUGAUUGACGUUACUCGCAGAAGAAGCACCGGCUAACUCCGUGCCAGCAGCCGCGGUAAUACGGAGGGUGCAAGCGUUAAUCGGAAUUACUGGGCGUAAAGCGCACGCAGGCGGUCUGUCAAGUCGGGUGUGAAAUCCCCGGGCUCAACCUGGGAACUGCAUUCGAAACUGGCAGGCUAGAGUCUUGUAGAGGGGGGUAGAAUUCCAGGUGUAGCGGUGAAAUGCGUAGAGAUCUGGAGGGAUACCGGUGGCGAAGGCGGCCCCUGGACAAAGACUGACGCUCAGGUGCGAAAGCGUGGGGAGCAAACAGGAUUAGAUACCCCAGUAGUC